Molecule: long non-coding RNA, 2140 nt
Organism: Chenopodium quinoa (quinoa)
Lineage: Eukaryota; Viridiplantae; Streptophyta; Magnoliopsida; Caryophyllales; Amaranthaceae
Exons: 3
Source: RefSeq, a predicted model, not a curated record
UACAUGACUCUCUAAAAACUCGGGAAAAAUUCCCCUUUAUAUAUAUAUAUAUAUGCUCGUGCGAUCCACACGGCUUUGUUUUUGUCUUUUUUUUUUAUUUUUUUUAUUUUGAUUAAAUAAGAAUAGAUAAUGUCAUUAAUACAAAGACAUUUAUUAUUCUAAUAUGGAUAAGCUAUUGCAAUUGUUUUCAAAGAAAAAAGAAAAACUAUUACAAUUAAUUAAAAAGAUACUUUUUUAUUACAAAUAUAAAAAUAAAAUUUCCAAGUUCAAAGUAUUCACUUUUCUUCACCUCUAUGUAAAGUUUAUUUUUUUAUUUUUUUAUUUUUAAAUUUGUAGUUGUGGUACAUGUAUCUUGGGCUUCCCAUGAAUGAUGCUCGCAGAAUUAUUCUAUUCCCCUCUAUCUUCAGCCCCAAUUAUUUAGUAUGUAGUAUGUCCUUUUUCUCUAGUUACGGUACAUGUACCUUGGGUCUCCGAUGAAUGAUGGUGGCAAGAUUAUUCUUUUUCCGUCUUUGGCCGUUGUAGUUGUAUUUUUGUUUACCCAUUGCAUCCCUAAUGGUAUUGUAAAUUUUUACUUUAAGUUGUGGCUGAUGUUCUCGAAGAUCCUCACCAUAUGGGUUAAACAAAAGGUAUUAUAUCCCUAACCCUUUAAAAAGAGGGAACUUCUCCAAAUGAAAGUAAUAGUGAUAUGAGUCACAAGUCGAUGAAAAUUACUAUUCAUACGUUGCAAAAUUGCAAGAGUUUGACCAACUUGCAUUUGGAUGCAAUUUCAUUUAAUUUGUUGAGUCACCAAAUUAUUUCUCCCUAAUUUCCUCCCUUCCAUUCAUUUCCCUUCUGUCACGCUAUUGUGCUUCCUCUUUCAUUUGAUUAAUUAAUAAAAAAAAAAAAAAAAGGGAACUGUCUUGCUGCUUCUCCAUUUUCGCCCAGCCUCUUCUAUUAUUGCAACCCGUCUUCUCCAUCCUCGUCUCUUCGAGACUCCAUUGAAGCCAUACUCUGAAUCCUCUCCUCUCCAUUGAAGUUGUACUCUAAAUCUUUUCCCUCUCCACUGAAGUCGUUCUUUAAAUUCUCCAUUGAAGCUGCACUCUUAAUUCUCCAUUGAAGUCAUACACUAAAUUCUCCCUUGAAACGGUUUCGAUCUGAGCUUUUUGCUCUCCAUUGAAUCGAUUCUUAGUUGUAAACGUCAAUUGGAGACUAGGGUCAAUCGCAACUCUAUUGAAGCCACCAGAUCUUUUUCUUUCUCAAGAAUGGUGGUGAGAAGGAGUCCUCUGCUACGCGCAUUGUUGAGAUCGAAGAAUCACCUGAUCAAAGAGCUGUAGUUUUGUGUCAGGUGUUAAUUCAUGCAACAAGGAUUCAAGACUUUGAUUUAGGAAUAUUGUUUUGAUGUUGUAAUAUUUUUUUGGGUUUUUCUACGUGGUACCCUUGAGUUUUUGAGUUUUCUACCUUGUACGCUCCUAAAUUCAAAUUUCUUUAAGGUGACCUUGAGUUAUUAGUUUAUUUUACAUUAUACCCUUAAGUUUUUGGAUUUUUCUACAUGGUACCCUUGAGUAGUGAAAUAAAUGGCUCUAAAUUAAUUUGACUCAAACCCACACCAUCCAAACGACUUAUUUAGCACCAUCAAAGACACAACUAGCAUGUUUAUUGCAAAAAAAAAAAGGACUAACAACUUGAGUCCCUCUAAAACAAGCUCUUUUAGUUAAAGUAGGAGAAAAAAAAAAAGUUCUUAUCUUCCAUCUCAAAUAAUCGUACAAGAGUUCUACUAAAUAGCAAAUAAUGAAGAUUGGUGAUUCCUCCAUCUAAUAUAAAUAUAGAAGUGGUAAAUAGAUCAUUUAGAUGGCGUCGGUUUGAGUUAAAUUAAGUUAGAGUCAUUUAAUUUACAACUCAAGGGUACCAUGUAGAAAAACCCAAAAACUCAAUGCAAGGGCACCUUGUAGAAUUUAGGAUUUAGAAGGGUACAAUGUAGAAAACUCAAUAACUUAGGGGGUACCAUGUAGAAAAAUCCUAUUUUUUUUGUUGUACAAUAUCAAUUUCUGAGUUGAAUUUCAUUAUAAUUCAUUGUAAUUUUUUAAUUUUUUUUUGUAUUGUACAAUAACAAUUUACUUGUUGAAUAUAAUGUGAUUAUAUUUCAUUGUUUUUGCUUCUGUUA